CUUCCUCCCCCCUCUCCUGGAGAGGAACCGUUCAAGUGGGGGAGAAUAGGAUAUAAAUUUCCUCCAGAACAGCAGAACCGUCUCCUUUUGCCCCGGUGCAGCAGGCACCUCCGCGCUCUAUUGCAGGUUUACGC
Unclassified non-coding RNA from Vulpes vulpes (red fox), 134 nucleotides. The record is from Ensembl. Lineage: Eukaryota; Metazoa; Chordata; Mammalia; Carnivora; Canidae.